This 253-nucleotide ribosomal RNA is filed under the name uncultured bacterium. RNAcentral describes it as "partial 16S ribosomal RNA". It matches the Rfam family "Bacterial small subunit ribosomal RNA", at positions 524 to 776 of the family's 1533-position model. The record is from RNAcentral.
GACGUAGGGCGCAAGCGUUGUCCGGAUUUAUUGGGCGUAAAGAGCUCGUAGGCGGCUUGUUGCGUCGACCGUGAAAACCCGUGGCUCAACUGCGGGCUUGCGGUCGAUACGGGCGGGCUAGAGUUCGGUAGGGGAGACUGGAAUUCCUGGUGUAGCGGUGAAAUGCGCAGAUAUCAGGAGGAACACCGAUGGCGAAGGCAGGUCUCUGGGCCACUACUGACGCUGAGAAGCGAAAGCAUGGGGAGCGAACAGG